This 1682-nucleotide long non-coding RNA is filed under the name Phoenix dactylifera (date palm). Its description in RNAcentral is "long non-coding RNA (PDAC_LNC004138)". Lineage: Eukaryota; Viridiplantae; Streptophyta; Magnoliopsida; Arecales; Arecaceae. The record is from RNAcentral.
UCAAUUCACUUGCUUUAUUUAUUUUCCCCCCCUGGACCAUGGGUUGGUCCUCAGUUACACAACCAUGUUAACGAGUUGUUUCUAGGAUAAUCCUCAUUUAUACAACCAUGUAUUCAAGUGGCUCCUCCUCAUGUUUGGUUUUAUUUGUGGAAUGGAAAUCAAAGGGGGUACGAGGUCUGUAGUUUAGCAAAGACAUUCAGGUAUCCUAACCUUGGAAGUAGAACUACCUGUUCUAUAUUCAGUAAACAAACGGGUAAGCCAGACCUUUAUAUAUAUUUUCCAAUCCAUUGUAUCUCUCCAUGACUUCCAUUUCCACUUGCUCUUUUCAGAUCCAAGCUUGCACCCAAUAACCUUCACUCUUUCCCGUUAUGUUCUGGAUUCUAGCGUGUGCGAAGUCACGUGACUGCUCGUCGGCGGCCCAAUAAAUACAUGUAAAGAGUGCAAGAAGGUAAGGGAAUAUAACAUAUGGAGGAGUAUGACUUCUGUUCGGGGAUGAGGAAGAGACGAUCCUGAGCUCCUUCACGAAGAAGGUCGAGAUAUAGCAGCAGCAGCAGCAGCAGGAGGAGGAGGAAGAGGAGGGUUGAUGGCUCUCGGUGCGAAGGCGGUGCUUCUGCUGGUAGUGCUUGCAGUAGUUCUUCUGUUCCUGCCACUUGUGCUGCCUCCUUUGCCACCACCGCCACCUCUGCUCCUCUUGAUCCCUGUUGCGAUGUUGCUUCUCCUUGUCUUCCUUGCUCUCCUUCCAUCCCACGAUGUAUCGGCAUCUUCUAGCAUCCCUCCUCAUCAAUGAAUCAACCAUCCAUCCAAAAACUCCCACGCAUAGUUUCGUUCGUACCCACAGGUUGUCAACUGUAUUCCGGAGCAUAGAAGAAAGAGAAGAAAGAAGUAGAGUAAAUCCUUGAUGGUGAGCUACCUCUCAUACGUUUUACCUUCCGGAGGAGCAUAGAAGAAAGAAGAAACAAGUAGGUUGUCGACUUUAUUCCGGAGCAUAGAAGAAAGAGAAGAAAAAAAGUAGAGAAGAAAGAAGUAGAGAAAAUCCUUGAUGGUAAGCUUCCAUCAUCUUGCCUUCUUUUCUCAUAUCAUUGAAUAUGAAUACAACAAAAAAGCAGCAGGCUGCUGGCUUCCAGAAAUCUUCUGCUCUACCCGGUGCUAAAUAUAAAAUUUGCCUUCCCAACAUAGGAAGAUGUGAUGACCGGGGCAGGCUUUCGUUUAGUCCCUCAUCGCACUAGGUAGAUCUUGGAUAUUUAUAUAAGGCUAAAGAACCUAGAUGACACUUUUCCGACUAGCAUUUUUGGAAGAGGUUCCGAUUGUAAUACCUAUAUAUCCUUGGGGCAGUGAUGGUGGUUGCGUUUGAGUAGGACUUGAAGGUGGAGUCUAGGAGUCGGGGAGGAGGUCAGCCAUUGGUACUGCCACCCUCGGCAAAGCCUGCAGGCAGCGAUGAGGCUAGUCUGGUAUAUGGCAAUGGCAGCAUGAAGGCAUAGAUGGAGAGAGGGGAGCUGCACCAAAUCAUCAUCUAAUUUCAGUUACUGUAGUUUUCCAACUUACAAUGUAUUUAGUCCAAAGGCUAUGGGGAAAGAAAAGAGAAAUUACAAGCAGCAGUUUUGCUUUCGUCACUUGUAUUUAGGUUGCUUACAUUUUCGUUCAGGUACUUGUGCGUGUAACACCUAAAAAAAAAAGAGUAUGAU